RNAcentral lists this ribosomal RNA (459 nucleotides) under uncultured bacterium. RNAcentral's name for it is "partial 16S ribosomal RNA". It matches the Rfam family "Bacterial small subunit ribosomal RNA", at positions 338 to 795 of the family's 1533-position model. The record is from RNAcentral.
CCUACGGGAGGCAGCAGUGAGGAAUAUUGGUCAAUGGGCGGGAGCCUGAACCAGCCAAGCCGCGUGAGGGAAGAAGGUACAGCGUAUCGUAAACCUCUUUUGUCAGGGAACAAAGGCGGGGACUAGUCCCCGGAUGAGGGUACCUGAAGAAAAAGCAUCGGCUAACUCCGUGCCAGCAGCCGCGGUAAUACGGAGGAUGCGAGCGUUAUCCGGAUUUAUUGGGUUUAACGGGUGCGCAGGCGGCCUGUUAAGUCAGCGGUAAAAGCCCGGGGCUCAACCUCGACGAGCCGUUGAAACUGGCGAGCUAGAGUUGGGGAGAGGGACGCGGAAUGCGCGGUGUAGCGGUGAAAUGCUUAGAUAUCGCGAGGAACCCCGGUGGCGAAGGCAGCGUACCGGCUCCACACUGACGCUGAGGCGCGAAAGCGUGGGUAUCGAACAGGAUUAGAUACCCUAGUAGUC